RNAcentral lists this ribosomal RNA (1415 nucleotides) under Bacillus amyloliquefaciens. Its description in RNAcentral is "bacterial SSU rRNA". It matches the Rfam family "Bacterial small subunit ribosomal RNA". Lineage: Bacteria; Bacillati; Bacillota; Bacilli; Caryophanales; Bacillaceae. The record is from RNAcentral.
GCAUGUAGCAUGUCAGGUCGAGCGGACAGAUGGGAGCUUGCUCCCUGAUGUUAGCGGCGGACGGGUGAGUAACACGUGGGUAACCUGCCUGUAAGACUGGGAUAACUCCGGGAAACCGGGGCUAAUACCGGAUGGUUGUUUGAACCGCAUGGUUCAGACAUAAAAGGUGGCUUCGGCUACCACUUACAGAUGGACCCGCGGCGCAUUAGCUAGUUGGUGAGGUAACGGCUCACCAAGGCAACGAUGCGUAGCCGACCUGAGAGGGUGAUCGGCCACACUGGGACUGAGACACGGCCCAGACUCCUACGGGAGGCAGCAGUAGGGAAUCUUCCGCAAUGGACGAAAGUCUGACGGAGCAACGCCGCGUGAGUGAUGAAGGUUUUCGGAUCGUAAAGCUCUGUUGUUAGGGAAGAACAAGUGCCGUUCAAAUAGGGCGGCACCUUGACGGUACCUAACCAGAAAGCCACGGCUAACUACGUGCCAGCAGCCGCGGUAAUACGUAGGUGGCAAGCGUUGUCCGGAAUUAUUGGGCGUAAAGGGCUCGCAGGCGGUUUCUUAAGUCUGAUGUGAAAGCCCCCGGCUCAACCGGGGAGGGUCAUUGUAAACUGGGGAACUUGAGUGCAGAAGAGGAGAGUGGAAUUCCACGUGUAGCGGUGAAAUGCGUAGAGAUGUGGAGGAACACCAGUGGCGAAGGCGACUCUCUGGUCUGUAACUGACGCUGAGGAGCGAAAGCGUGGGGAGCGAACAGGAUUAGAUACCCUGGUAGUGCACGCCGUAAACGAUGAGUGCUAAGUGUUAGGGGGUUUCCGCCCCUUAGUGCUGCAGCUAACGCAUUAAGCACUCCGCCUGGGGAGUACGGUCGCAAGACUGAAACUCAAAGGAAUUGACGGGGGCCCGCACAAGCGGUGGAGCAUGUGGUUUAUUUCGAAGCAACGCGAAGAACCUUACCAGGUCUUGACAUCCUCUGACAAUCCUAGAGAUAGGACGUCCCCUUCGGGGGCAGAGUGACAGGUGGUGCAUGGUUGUCGUCAGCUCGUGUCGUGAGAUGUUGGGUUAAGUCCCGCAACGAGCGCAACCCUUGAUCUUAGUUGCCAGCAUUCAGUUGGGCACUCUAAGGUGACUGCCGGUGACAAACCGGAGGAAGGUGGGGAUGACGUCAAAUCAUCAUGCCCCUUAUGACCUGGGCUACACACGUGCUACAAUGGGCAGAACAAAGGGCAGCGAAACCGCGAGGUUAAGCCAAUCCCACAAAUCUGUUCUCAGUUCGGAUCGCAGUCUGCAACUCGACUGCGUGAAGCUGGAAUCGCUAGUAAUCGCGGAUCAGCAUGCCGCGGUGAAUACGUUCCCGGGCCUUGUACACACCGCCCGUCACACCACGAGAGUUUGUAACACCCGAAGUCGGUGAGGUAACCUUU